UACGUAGGGUGCGAGCGUUAAUCGGAAUUACUGGGCGUAAAGCGUACGCAGGCGGCUGUGCAAGACAGAUGUGAAAUCCCCGGGCCCAACCUGGGAACUGCAUUUGUGACUGCAUGGCUAGAGUCCGUAAGAGGGGGGUGGAAUUCCACGUGUAGCAGUGAAAUGCGUAGAGAUGUGGAGGAACACCGAUGGCGAAGGCAGCCCCCUGGGAUGAGACUGACGCUCAUGUAAGAAAGCGUGGGGAGCAAACAGG
This 253-nucleotide ribosomal RNA is filed under the name uncultured bacterium. RNAcentral's name for it is "partial 16S ribosomal RNA". It matches the Rfam family "Bacterial small subunit ribosomal RNA", at positions 524 to 776 of the family's 1533-position model. The record is from RNAcentral.